RNAcentral lists this transfer RNA (73 nucleotides) under Photorhabdus luminescens subsp. mexicana. RNAcentral describes it as "Photorhabdus sp. MEX47-22 tRNA-Arg". It matches the Rfam family "tRNA", at positions 15 to 71 of the family's 71-position model. From Rfam's summary of the family: Transfer RNA (tRNA) molecules are approximately 80 nucleotides in length. The record is from RNAcentral. Lineage: Bacteria; Pseudomonadati; Pseudomonadota; Gammaproteobacteria; Enterobacterales; Morganellaceae.
AUAUUCUAUGAAACAGAAAGAUAGCGGCCUUCUAAGCCGUAGGUCACAGGUUCGAAUCCUGUAGGGCGUGCCA